GGCGCGAUAGCUCAGUUGGUAGAGCAGUGGUCUCGUAAUCCGGUGACCCGGGUUCGAAACCAAGUCGAUGCCG
Molecule: non-coding RNA, 73 nt
Organism: Strongylocentrotus purpuratus (purple sea urchin)
Lineage: Eukaryota; Metazoa; Echinodermata; Echinoidea; Camarodonta; Strongylocentrotidae
Source: Rfam